Non-coding RNA from Schistosoma mattheei, 45 nucleotides. Lineage: Eukaryota; Metazoa; Platyhelminthes; Trematoda; Strigeidida; Schistosomatidae. The record is from Rfam.
AUUCAGCUGUUGAGUCCUAAAUAGGAUGAAACACGCGUCAUGGAU